RNAcentral lists this ribosomal RNA (497 nucleotides) under uncultured bacterium. RNAcentral describes it as "partial 16S ribosomal RNA". It matches the Rfam family "Bacterial small subunit ribosomal RNA", at positions 28 to 507 of the family's 1533-position model. The record is from RNAcentral.
GAUGAACGCUGGCGGCGUGCCUAAUACAUGCAAGUCGAGCGAACAGAUAAGGAGCUUGCUCCUUUGACGUUAGCGGCGGACGGGUGAGUUACACGUGGAUAACCUACCUAUAAGACUGGGAUAACUUCGGGAAACCGGAGCUAAUACCGGAUAACAUAUUGAACCGCAUGGUUCAAUAGUGAAAGGCGGCUUUGCUGUCACUUAUAGAUGGAUCCGCGCCGUAUUAGCUAGUUGGUAAGGUAACGGCUUACCAAGGCAACGAUACGUAGCCGACCUGAGAGGGUGGUCGGCCACACUGGAACUGAGACACGGUCCAGGCUCCUACGGGAAGCAGCAGUAGGGAAUCUGCCGCAAUGGGCGAAAACCUGACGGAGCAACGCCGCGUGAGUGAUGAAGGUCUUCGGAUCGUAAAACUCUGUUAUCAGGGAAGAACAAAUGUGUAAGUAACUGUGCACAUCUUGACGGUACCUGAUCAGAAAGCCACGGCUAACUACGUG